CAGAGGUGCCGAGCGUUAGGCGGAAUCACUGGGCUUAAAGCGCGCGUAGGCGGACGUUUAAGUGUCUUGUGAAAUCCCACGGCUCAACCGUGGAACUGCUGGGCAUACUGGACGUCUCGAGGCACUCAGGGGCGAGCGGAACAAGUGGUGGAGCGGUGAAAUGCGUAGAUAUCACUUGGAACGCCAAUGGUGAAGACAGCUCGCUGGGGGUGUCCUGACGCUGAGGCGCGAAAGCCAGGGGAGCGAACGGGAUUAGAUACCCCGGUAGUCCUGGCCCUAAACGAUGUCCACUAGAUCAUGGCGGCUCUGACGUCGUCAUGGUCGGAGCAAAAGUGUUAAGUGGACCGCCUGGGAAGUACGGUCGCAAGGCUA
RNAcentral lists this ribosomal RNA (372 nucleotides) under uncultured organism. Its description in RNAcentral is "bacterial SSU rRNA". It matches the Rfam family "Bacterial small subunit ribosomal RNA", at positions 526 to 896 of the family's 1533-position model. The record is from RNAcentral.